RNAcentral lists this ribosomal RNA (2151 nucleotides) under Staphylococcus aureus DAR5844. RNAcentral describes it as "bacterial LSU rRNA". It matches the Rfam family "Bacterial large subunit ribosomal RNA", at positions 3 to 2152 of the family's 2925-position model. Lineage: Bacteria; Bacillati; Bacillota; Bacilli; Caryophanales; Staphylococcaceae. The record is from RNAcentral.
UUAAGUUAUUAAGGGCGCACGGUGGAUGCCUUGGCACUAGAAGCCGAUGAAGGACGUUACUAACGACGAUAUGCUUUGGGGAGCUGUAAGUAAGCUUUGAUCCAGAGAUUUCCGAAUGGGGAAACCUAGCAUGAGUUAUGUCAUGUUAUCGAUAUGUGAAUACAUAGCAUAUCAGAAGGCACACCCGGAGAACUGAAACAUCUUAGUACCCGGAGGAAGAGAAAGAAAAUUCGAUUCCCUUAGUAGCGGCGAGCGAAACGGGAAGAGCCCAAACCAACAAGCUUGCUUGUUGGGGUUGUAGGACACUCUAUACGGAGUUACAAAGGACGACAUUAGACGAAUCAUCUGGAAAGAUGAAUCAAAGAAGGUAAUAAUCCUGUAGUCGAAAAUGUUGUCUCUCUUGAGUGGAUCCUGAGUACGACGGAGCACGUGAAAUUCCGUCGGAAUCUGGGAGGACCAUCUCCUAAGGCUAAAUACUCUCUAGUGACCGAUAGUGAACCAGUACCGUGAGGGAAAGGUGAAAAGCACCCCGGAAGGGGAGUGAAAUAGAACCUGAAACCGUGUGCUUACAAGUAGUCAGAGCCCGUUAAUGGGUGAUGGCGUGCCUUUUGUAGAAUGAACCGGCGAGUUACGAUUUGAUGCAAGGUUAAGCAGUAAAUGUGGAGCCGUAGCGAAAGCGAGUCUGAAUAGGGCGUUUAGUAUUUGGUCGUAGACCCGAAACCAGGUGAUCUACCCUUGGUCAGGUUGAAGUUCAGGUAACACUGAAUGGAGGACCGAACCGACUUACGUUGAAAAGUGAGCGGAUGAACUGAGGGUAGCGGAGAAAUUCCAAUCGAACCUGGAGAUAGCUGGUUCUCUCCGAAAUAGCUUUAGGGCUAGCCUCAAGUGAUGAUUAUUGGAGGUAGAGCACUGUUUGGACGAGGGGCCCCUCUCGGGUUACCGAAUUCAGACAAACUCCGAAUGCCAAUUAAUUUAACUUGGGAGUCAGAACAUGGGUGAUAAGGUCCGUGUUCGAAAGGGAAACAGCCCAGACCACCAGCUAAGGUCCCAAAAUAUAUGUUAAGUGGAAAAGGAUGUGGCGUUGCCCAGACAACUAGGAUGUUGGCUUAGAAGCAGCCAUCAUUUAAAGAGUGCGUAAUAGCUCACUAGUCGAGUGACACUGCGCCGAAAAUGUACCGGGGCUAAACAUAUUACCGAAGCUGUGGAUUGUCCUUUGGACAAUGGUAGGAGAGCGUUCUAAGGGCGUUGAAGCAUGAUCGUAAGGACAUGUGGAGCGCUUAGAAGUGAGAAUGCCGGUGUGAGUAGCGAAAGACGGGUGAGAAUCCCGUCCACCGAUUGACUAAGGUUUCCAGAGGAAGGCUCGUCCGCUCUGGGUUAGUCGGGUCCUAAGCUGAGGCCGACAGGCGUAGGCGAUGGAUAACAGGUUGAUAUUCCUGUACCACCUAUAAUCGUUUUAAUCGAUGGGGGGACGCAGUAGGAUAGGCGAAGCGUGCGAUUGGAUUGCACGUCUAAGCAGUAAGGCUGAGUAUUAGGCAAAUCCGGUACUCGUUAAGGCUGAGCUGUGAUGGGGAGAAGACAUUGUGUCUUCGAGUCGUUGAUUUCACACUGCCGAGAAAAGCCUCUAGAUAGAAAAUAGGUGCCCGUACCGCAAACCGACACAGGUAGUCAAGAUGAGAAUUCUAAGGUGAGCGAGCGAACUCUCGUUAAGGAACUCGGCAAAAUGACCCCGUAACUUCGGGAGAAGGGGUGCUCUUUAGGGUUAACGCCCAGAAGAGCCGCAGUGAAUAGGCCCAAGCGACUGUUUAUCAAAAACACAGGUCUCUGCUAAACCGUAAGGUGAUGUAUAGGGGCUGACGCCUGCCCGGUGCUGGAAGGUUAAGAGGAGUGGUUAGCUUCUGCGAAGCUACGAAUCGAAGCCCCAGUAAACGGCGGCCGUAACUAUAACGGUCCUAAGGUAGCGAAAUUCCUUGUCGGGUAAGUUCCGACCCGCACGAAAGGCGUAACGAUUUGGGCACUGUCUCAACGAGAGACUCGGUGAAAUCAUAGUACCUGUGAAGAUGCAGGUUACCCGCGACAGGACGGAAAGACCCCGUGGAGCUUUACUGUAGCCUGAUAUUGAAAUUCGGCACAGCUUGUACAGGAUAGGUAGGA